GCUACACAUGCAGUCGACGAUGAAGCCGGAGCUUGCUCUGGUGGAUUAGUGGCGAACGGGUGAGUAACACGUGAGUAACCUGCCCUUGACUCUGGAAUAAGCGUUGGAAACGACGUCUAAUACCGGAUACGAGCUUCCGCCGCAUGGUGAGGAGCUGGAAAGAAUUUCGGUCAAGGAUGGACUCGCGGCCUAUCAGGUAGUUGGUGAGGUAAUGGCUCACCAAGCCUACGACGGGUAGCCGGCCUGAGAGGGUGACCGGCCACACUGGAACUGAGACACGGUCCAGACUCCUACGGGAGGCAGCAGUGGGGAAUAUUGCACAAUGGGCGCAAGCCUGAUGCAGCAACGCCGCGUGAGGGACGACGGCCUUCGGGUUGUAAACCUCUUUUAGUAGGGAAGAAGCGAAAGUGACGGUACCUGCAGAAAAAGCACCGGCUAACUACGUGCCAGCAGCCGCGGUAAUACGUAGGGUGCAAGCGUUAUCCGGAAUUAUUGGGCGUAAAGAGCUCGUAGGCGGUUUGUCGCGUCUGCUGUGAAAACUGGGGGCUCAACCCCCAGCCUGCAGUGGGUACGGGCAGACUAGAGUGCGGUAGGGGAGAUUGGAAUUCCUG
Molecule: ribosomal RNA, 611 nt
Filed under: bacterium fme09x27p279
Lineage: Bacteria
Description: bacterial SSU rRNA
Rfam family: Bacterial small subunit ribosomal RNA
Source: RNAcentral